This 361-nucleotide long non-coding RNA is filed under the name Sorghum bicolor (sorghum). RNAcentral describes it as "long non-coding RNA (SBIC_LNC002594)". The record is from RNAcentral. Lineage: Eukaryota; Viridiplantae; Streptophyta; Magnoliopsida; Poales; Poaceae.
CAGAGGAAUCGCCGGAGCUCGCUGUUUCGGCCAGUCGGGGCGUCGUCGGCGGCGAGGGAGAGGUGGGGAAGCAUGAGGGAGCUUGUGCGCACUCGAGGGUGGUCUUGGAAGGUCGGGAGAGUGCCCGAGGCGGCCCGGCCACGCGCGUGCAUUGACGGUGAUGGCGGCGGUGGUGCUCCGGCGGUCUCGGCGGCGGACAGAGACGGCGAGUGCGAGCACGAGGUAUAGAAGAUAGAGGCGGAGCUCAUGGUGGUGCUCGUGGGAAGUAUGGGGGCUCGGAACAACGGGAACGCCCGCAGCUCCGACGAGCUCCGAGCUCGCCCAUGGUGGCCAUGGAGGAACACAGAGAGAGUGAGAAAGG